CUUAUCUCUUCUCUCUUCACUUCACCAUGGCAGCUUCAGCUUCAGCUUCGUCUCUCGCUCUCUCCACCUUCAACACCAACUCCCUUCCUUUCUCCGUCUCCAGACCUUCCUCCCUCGUACCUCCUUCCGUCUCCUUCAAACUCAACUCACUCUCCAUCUUCUCUUCCUCCUCCGCUGCCAAAUGCACCUCUCCCGCCUCUCGCUUCCUCCGUAACGUCGCCGUCACGGAAGACUUCUCUGUCGAAGAAGAAGACG
This 255-nucleotide long non-coding RNA is filed under the name Brassica napus (rape). Its description in RNAcentral is "long non-coding RNA (BNAP_LNC014985)". Lineage: Eukaryota; Viridiplantae; Streptophyta; Magnoliopsida; Brassicales; Brassicaceae. The record is from RNAcentral.